GGGGGACGACCCUCCGGGAUCGGCUUUCAGGAGCAGGUCUCAAACAAGUCCGAGCUGCUGCGGUAAAGAGCCGUGGUGGUGAGCGUCGGAUGAAAAGUUCGGUCGAGAUCCGAGCAGGU
This 119-nucleotide non-coding RNA is filed under the name Sinorhizobium meliloti GR4. Lineage: Bacteria; Pseudomonadati; Pseudomonadota; Alphaproteobacteria; Hyphomicrobiales; Rhizobiaceae. The record is from RNAcentral.